CCGCGCUAGACGGGGAGGUAGCGGUGCACUGAACCUGCAACCCGCUAUAGCAGGGUUUAAUUCCUACCCUCGGUCUUUGCUUUUCAGUGCUGCCCUGCCUGGAGAAUGUUGAGAGCUCAGUCCUAUGCGGCACAGGACCAUGAACCCCGUCAGGUCCGGGAGGAAGCAGCGGUAAGUGGACACCUGUGGGUGCCAUAGGGGCGCUGGGCUUGAGUUUUCCUUGCAGGUAACGGCUGGGGAGCAGGAACAAAGGUAGGUGCGCGG
Molecule: signal recognition particle RNA, 264 nt
Filed under: Bacillota bacterium
Lineage: Bacteria; Bacillati; Bacillota
Description: Firmicutes bacterium (anaerobic digester metagenome) signal recognition particle sRNA large type
Rfam family: Bacterial large signal recognition particle RNA
About the family: The signal recognition particle (SRP) is a universally conserved ribonucleoprotein involved in the co-translational targeting of proteins to membranes. Archaeal SRP consists of a 7S RNA and homologues of the eukaryotic SRP19 and SRP54 proteins. In most bacteria, the SRP consists of a 4.5S RNA and the Ffh protein (a homologue of the eukaryotic SRP54 protein).
Source: RNAcentral